Molecule: RNase P RNA, 307 nt
Filed under: Methylobacillus glycogenes
Lineage: Bacteria; Pseudomonadati; Pseudomonadota; Betaproteobacteria; Nitrosomonadales; Methylophilaceae
Description: RNase P RNA component class A
Rfam family: Bacterial RNase P class A
About the family: Ribonuclease P (RNase P) is a ubiquitous endoribonuclease, found in archaea, bacteria and eukarya as well as chloroplasts and mitochondria.
Source: RNAcentral
GAAGCUGGCCAGGCAGUCGCCGCCCACCUUGGUGGGGGGAGGAAAGUCCGGGCUCCGCAGAGCAGGAUGACGGCUAACGGCCGUACGCCGUGAGGCGAGGAAUAGGGCCACAGAGACGAGUAUGUCGCAAGGCGGACGUGAAACGCGGUAACCUCCAUCCGGAGCAAGACCAAAUAGGGUAGCAAUGGCGUGGCUCGCGCUGCUACCGGGUAGGUUGCUUGAGCCCAGUGGUAACGUUGGGCCUAGAUGAAUGACUGCCGCCCCGCUUGCGGGGAGACAAAACCCGGCUUAUCGGCCAGCUUCUUUC